RNAcentral lists this ribosomal RNA (497 nucleotides) under uncultured bacterium. Its description in RNAcentral is "partial 16S ribosomal RNA". It matches the Rfam family "Bacterial small subunit ribosomal RNA", at positions 28 to 523 of the family's 1533-position model. The record is from RNAcentral.
GAUGAACGCUGGCGGCGUGCUUAACACAUGCAAGUCGAACGAAGCACUCUAUUUGAUUUUCUUCGGAAAUGAAGAUUUUGUGACUGAGUGGCGGACGGGUGAGUAACGCGUGGGUAACCUGCCUCAUACAGGGGGAUAACAGUUGGAAACGACUGCUAAUACCGCAUAAGCGCACAGUAUCGCAUGAUACAGUGUGAAAAACUCCGGUGGUAUGAGAUGGACCCGCGUCUGAUUAGCUAGUUGGGGGGGCAACGGCCUACCAAGGCGACGAUCAGUAGCCGACCUGAGAGGGUGACCGGCCACAUUGGGACUGAGACACGGCCCAAACUCCUACGGGAGGCAGCAGUGGGGAAUAUUGCACAAUGGGGGAAACCCUGAUGCAGCGACGCCGCGUGAACGAAGAAGUAUUUCGGUAUGUAAAGUUCUAUCAGCAGGGAAGAUAAUGACGGUACCUGACUAAGAAGCACCGGCUAAAUACGUGCCAGCAGCCGCCGUAA